Molecule: ribosomal RNA, 253 nt
Filed under: uncultured bacterium
Lineage: Bacteria
Description: partial 16S ribosomal RNA
Rfam family: Bacterial small subunit ribosomal RNA
Source: RNAcentral
UACGGGGGGGGCAAGCGUUGUUCGGAAUUACUGGGCGUAAAGGGCUUGUAGGUGGUCUUCUACGUCUGAUGUGAAAUCCCUCAGCUUAACUGGGGAACUGCGUCUGAUACUGGAUGGCUUGAGUUUGGGAGAGGGAUGCGGAAUUCCAGGUGUAGCGGUGAAAUGCGUAGAUAUCUGGAGGAACACCGGUGGCGAAGGCAGCAUCCUGGACCAAUACUGACACUGAGGAGCGAAAGCCAGGGGAGCAAACGGG